GUGACGAAUACAUAAAUUUCUUUUCUUUCAUAAAAGUAGAUGUUCUAAGUAAAACCCUUCUAUUAUUCUUCCUUGAGAUUAAAAUUUCGAUGUCAGUUUCCUCCUCUAAAUUCCCAAGAUGGCCUCCUUCCCCAUGUAAUAAGCAUUCGAGGUGCAUGUAAUAUGGAUAGGAGACUGUAUAAAAGCUCCUCUGUUCUGCCCUGGCCAGUUGAUUGCCUACCGCUGCAACCAGUCAAUCCCAUCUGAUUUUCUUAAUGCACUUGUAUGUGUACAGGGUCAUCAACAGCAAGCUGGAUAUGACUAAUUUAAAGCAACAUCUUCGUCACCUAAGGCAACCAUUGAAGAAGCAACUUCCACUUCCCAUAGAGCGGUAUUAUUGAAAGUCUGCGCAGAAGGAUCAAUGGGUUGAACUUGAACUUGAACUGAAGGUGCAACCAUGUUAUUAGGCUGCUGCUGAUUUUGUUGAUUGAUCAUGAAAAGAUUUUCAUUUUCAUUGAUCAAAGAAUCCAGAAACGAAGAGAAAGUAUCCUCAUUUCCAUUUCCGAUGUAAUUGUAUUCUGUAUUGCUUGGUCCUUGGUCACUUUGUAAACCCAUAACCAGACCAUUACAAUUAGGCCAGUUACCGUUACCAUCUUCGACAACUAUUGGGUUUUGAUAACGUUCUAGGUUAGUAAUAUUGAAAUUUUUGCUCACUUUGGUGGCUAUAGCUCUAUAGGUCCUGCCAGUUUCUUCCAAAUCAACAGAUUUAGGGCCAGAAUUUUGGUUCAGAUCUUGGGCAAACUGGGAGGAAUUAGGGGUAGGGUUCAAUGGCUUGUGGGUCCUCGGAUCAAUCCCUUGGCUAAUCAGCUUCUUACUGAGAUGGGUAUUCCAGUAGUUCUUGAUUUCAUUAUCCGUGCGUCCUGGAAUCCUUCCAGCUAUCAAAGACCACCUGUUACCGAGCAACCUAUGCAGCCUAAGAAUAAGAUCUUCUUCAUCUGGAGCAAUACGCCCUCUCUUAACAGACGGCCGGAGAUAAUUCAUCCAUCGGAGGCGACAACUCUUUCCACAUCGAAGCAGCCCGGCCCUCUUUGGCAGCGUACGCCAACGUUCAGCGCCUUCCUUCUUGAUGUAGUUAGACAGGAGCUCGUCCUCCUCAGGAGUCCAAGGGCCCCUCUUUAUUCCCACUUUGCUACAGCAUGGUGUAGCAGUUGUCUUCUUGGCGCUGGGUGAAGUUGAAGAAGAUGGGUUCCUCAUAGUUAAUUAGUAAUUAAAUUAGCUAAUUAUCUGAUGCUUUUAUUCUAUGCUGAUGCUUUGUUUUCUUUGCGGGAUUCACUGAGCUCACGUUGCU
This 1327-nucleotide unclassified non-coding RNA is filed under the name Hevea brasiliensis (rubber tree). Lineage: Eukaryota; Viridiplantae; Streptophyta; Magnoliopsida; Malpighiales; Euphorbiaceae. The record is from RNAcentral.